GCCUGGGUGGCUCAGUUGGUUAAACAUCUGACUUCAGCUCAGAGUAUGAUCUCACAGUUUGUGGGUUGGAGACCCACUUUAGGCU
This 85-nucleotide transfer RNA is filed under the name Felis catus (domestic cat). It matches the Rfam family "tRNA". Rfam says of the family: Transfer RNA (tRNA) molecules are approximately 80 nucleotides in length. Their secondary structure includes four short double-helical elements and three loops (D, anti-codon, and T loops). Further hydrogen bonds mediate the characteristic L-shaped molecular structure. tRNAs have two regions of fundamental functional importance: the anti-codon, which is responsible for specific mRNA codon recognition, and the 3' end, to which the tRNAs corresponding amino acid is attached (by aminoacyl-tRNA synthetases). tRNAs cope with the degeneracy of the genetic code in two manners: having more than one tRNA (with a specific anti-codon) for a particular amino acid; and 'wobble' base-pairing, i.e. permitting non-standard base-pairing at the 3rd anti-codon position. RNAcentral also lists the same sequence under 1 other name. Lineage: Eukaryota; Metazoa; Chordata; Mammalia; Carnivora; Felidae. The record is from Rfam by way of RNAcentral.